Molecule: ribosomal RNA, 201 nt
Filed under: Vibrio parahaemolyticus
Lineage: Bacteria; Pseudomonadati; Pseudomonadota; Gammaproteobacteria; Vibrionales; Vibrionaceae
Description: partial 16S ribosomal RNA
Rfam family: Bacterial small subunit ribosomal RNA
Source: RNAcentral
AGCACCGGCUAACUCCGUGCCAGCAGCCGCGGUAAUACGGAGGGUGCGAGCGUUAAUCGGAAUUACUGGGCGUAAAGCGCAUGCAGGUGGUUUGUUAAGUCAGAUGUGAAAGCCCGGGGCUCAACCUCGGAAUUGCAUUUGAAACUGGCAGACUAGAGUACUGUAGAGGGGGGUAGAAUUUCAGGUGUAGCGGUGAAAUGC